GAAAUGCGAUAAGUAAUGUGAAUUGCAGAAUUCCGUGAAUCAUCGAAUCUUUGAACGCACAUUGCGCCCUCUGGCAUUCCGGGGGGCAUGCCUGUCCGAGCGUCAUUACGCACCCUCAAGCCCGGCUUGUGUGAUGGGCCCCGGCGUCUCGUUCGCGAGACGGGCCCGAAAGGCAGCGGCGGCGUCGACCCGAUGAGCCCGAGCGUAUGGGGACUUCUGUCACACGUUCGCGGUGCGAACCGGCGCCUGCUUUGACUUUUCUGAUUAUCCAGGUUGACCUCGGAUCAGGUAGGGAUACCCGCUGAACUUAAGC
RNAcentral lists this unclassified non-coding RNA (313 nucleotides) under plant metagenome. Its description in RNAcentral is "partial contains 5.8S ribosomal RNA, internal transcribed spacer 2, and large subunit ribosomal RNA". The stretch from base 1 to 105 matches the Rfam family "5.8S ribosomal RNA", at positions 50 to 154 of the family's 154-position model. The record is from RNAcentral.